RNAcentral lists this long non-coding RNA (675 nucleotides) under Panax ginseng (ginseng). RNAcentral describes it as "long non-coding RNA (PGIN_LNC005290)". Lineage: Eukaryota; Viridiplantae; Streptophyta; Magnoliopsida; Apiales; Araliaceae. The record is from RNAcentral.
AAUAAUAUUUCUUACGAAUAUUGAAUGGAAAUAAUUUUCCUUACGAAUAUUGAAUGAAAAUAAUAUUCCUUACAAAUAUCAAACGAAGAUAAUAUCCCUUACGAAUAUUGAACGAAAAUAAUAUUCCUUACGAAUACGAAAAUAAUAUUACGAAUAUGAAAUAAAUAAUACCCCUUACCUUAGUAGGAGAGUAAUUUCGACUGGUAUAGCGGGGAUAUUCUUGAAGAAAACUUGCACUAUUUGCUACACUCAAAGUAUUCGUAUGCUCAAAAGAAAUACGCACAAUAUUAUAGAAGAAGAAUUCUUUGAUUCUGGUGUGUUUUUCAUUUCUUAACUAAGCAUCCUAUUUAUAGGAGAAUGACAGGGUACUAUUUAAGAAAAUAAUCACAGACGCACAGUAACAAUUCACAGGUGCAAAAAAUUCGGCAAAAUCUAAUUUUUACUAUUCAUUACUGUGCAAUAAAAUAUUCUAAUAAAAUGAAAACUUUAUAUAAAAUAUAAUAUAAUAUGUUUAUAAUAUAAUAAAACGAAUAACUUUAUAUAUAAUAUAAAAAGUAUUUUGUUUUAUAUAAAAGUUUUCUGUUUUAUUACUAUUAUAAUAAUAAUACAACAAAACUGAGAUAACUUUUUACCAGCGAUUUUGAAAAAUGAGUAAGUGGUGGUCCAUGUAAUAAG